GGGAUUGUGGCUCAGAGGUAGAGCACUCGCCUGCCAUGCGUGAGGCACUGGGUUCAAUCCCCAGCACCA
Molecule: transfer RNA, 69 nt
Filed under: Ictidomys tridecemlineatus (thirteen-lined ground squirrel)
Lineage: Eukaryota; Metazoa; Chordata; Mammalia; Rodentia; Sciuridae
Description: Spermophilus tridecemlineatus (thirteen-lined ground squirrel) tRNA
Rfam family: tRNA
About the family: Transfer RNA (tRNA) molecules are approximately 80 nucleotides in length. Their secondary structure includes four short double-helical elements and three loops (D, anti-codon, and T loops). Further hydrogen bonds mediate the characteristic L-shaped molecular structure. tRNAs have two regions of fundamental functional importance: the anti-codon, which is responsible for specific mRNA codon recognition, and the 3' end, to which the tRNAs corresponding amino acid is attached (by aminoacyl-tRNA synthetases). tRNAs cope with the degeneracy of the genetic code in two manners: having more than one tRNA (with a specific anti-codon) for a particular amino acid; and 'wobble' base-pairing, i.e. permitting non-standard base-pairing at the 3rd anti-codon position.
Source: Rfam by way of RNAcentral